This is a long non-coding RNA of Cyprinus carpio carpio, 1944 nucleotides long. The record is from Ensembl. NCBI's taxonomy places the organism in Eukaryota, Metazoa, Chordata, Actinopteri, Cypriniformes, Cyprinidae.
CAAUAAUCAGCAAAUCGGUAACACUUUACAACAAAGUCUCAUUCAUUAACAUUAGCUAAGAAGAACUUAAAAAUAAGCAAUGCAUUUCUUACAGAAUUAUAAAGCUUUUUUAAUGCUUAAUACAGUGGUUCAUGUUAGUUAUGUUCGUGUUAGGUCAUGUUAUGUUGAAAUGAACAUUAUCUAAGAUUCAUAAAUGCUGUAAAAGUAUUGCUACAUUUACAUUCUUCAUUUAGCAGAUGCUUUUAUCCAAAUCGACUUAUAAAAGGAAUACAAGUAACUGUUAAUAACGUUAAUAAAUGCAAAUGACAGAACAAAACUCUACAGUAAAUUAGACUUUUUUUAUUAAAAAAAAACAUCUCAUUUUGUGCAGUGAAAUGUGAUCUGGACCUGUUUUUGUGAGAUUCACCCCAACUGUAGCCUGCCUGGUUACUCUUUCCAUCACUCUUUGAGUUUAAGAGGCGAAAUGAGCUUCAACAUGAGCUCACAUUGAGAGACAGAAGAUAUCUGAGCUGUUAAAGCAGAUGAUGAGCGUCGGCUCUGACGAUAUGUCUGACAAUAAACAAUACUGUGGACUUUCAAACAGUCACUAAUUGGAAAAUGGUUUUUGCCUUUCUGACUCUCAUAAGCCUGUUUGCUUCUGCUAGUCCUGUUUGUUUUUGUUAAUGAAGCGAUUUCAGCAGCUCGGCUUUGCCACAUCAAGACUCGAGGAAACACACCAUACGUGCUCCGUUUCAUGGUUUACACUAGAAACCAUGAGAGAAACUUAAAAAAAAAAAAAAAAAAUCAUCUUCAGUAGUAUUUGUAUCAUUUGUACUCCAAUAAUACCAUGCUUUGUACACACUUUGAACUGGGAAACAGAAUCAGCUUAUUAAAUGGAUACUGUGUAUCCUGAAGUAGUCACAAAUAUAACAUUAUAGUGUUAGAAUACUACUUGUUUUUUUUUUUUUUUUUUGUAUUUUUACCUUUCUGGAGGAUGAGGAAAAACAGACACUUCAUAAAUCAUUAAUUAUUAUAAUUCAUUAUUAUUCAGCAUCACUGUUAUUUGUUAUUAUGGAUACCACAUUAAAUGUUAUGAUCAAAAUAUGUUGUACAUAAUGUUUGAUAUUAAGGUAUUAAUUUGAUUCACAUGUCUUUUCUAAAAUAAAAGAAAAUAAUAAUAAAAAUAUGAGUGCAAAACAUUGGGAUGUUUGCGUUCGACAAACGCAGCCAAUCAGAGGCCACCUUUGAACAGCGAUCUGAAGCCCUGAGCCAAUAGGAACGCUUCAUCUGUUUUUAAAUCUCCUGCCAACGUUUUUCAAAGUUCGGAGGUUCAAAGGUGCAGCGUUUGUUCAGAUGAUGCUGUGUUUGCCGGACUGUCUGUGAUUUUAACGGAAGGAACUUGCUGGUUUCAUAACGUGGCAUGUGCAUGGACUUGAUAAUGAAAAAAACAUGUUAAAUAAAGUGUUCUUUUGGCUGUUUUCACCUCUUCUUUUCUCGACACGUUCAUGUGUGCUGUAGUUCCACUGAAAUUAGAAGGUUAUGCAGGAGAGAGUGCUGUAGUUUUGCACAAGCAUUGCUCCAGAACGUUUGCUGCAGUGCAGAAGGUUCUGGAGUUGUUUGUUUGAUUGUUUUCAAUGGUUUUGAGAAUAAAUCAUCUGUCAUGAGACUGACUCUGUCAGCGUCGGGAAACAUUCAGAAUUUAAGAGUGCGAAUCUGUUCAGUAUAUGUGUGUGAAUUUAACUUGAACUGAAACAGGACGAUGACCUGAAAUGAAAUGACAUGAAGAGAAAAAAAAAUUCCCUUCAAAAUACAUGAUUUAUGCUCAUUUAUACUCUGAUUUAUGUAUAUUGUUUUAUGGUAACACUUUACAAUAAGGUUAAAUUUUUUAACUAUAUUUAAUGCAUUAACUAACAUUACUUAACAAUGAGCAAUACACUGUUACAGUAUUUAUUUAUCUUUGUUAAC